RNAcentral lists this ribosomal RNA (444 nucleotides) under uncultured bacterium. Its description in RNAcentral is "bacterial SSU rRNA". It matches the Rfam family "Bacterial small subunit ribosomal RNA", at positions 29 to 521 of the family's 1533-position model. The record is from RNAcentral.
AACGAACGCUGGCGGCAGGCCUAACACAUGCAAGUCGAACGCUCCGCAAGGGGAGUGGCAGACGGGUGAGUAACACGUGGGAACCUUCCCAUCGCUACGGAAUAGCUCAGGGAAACUUGGGGUAAUACCGUAUACGCCCGAAAGGGAAAGAUUUAUCGGCGAUGGAUGGGCCCGCGGCUGAUUAGCUAGUUGGUGAGGUAACGGCUCACCAAGGCGACGAUCAGUAGCUGGUCUGAGAGGACGACCAGCCACACUGGGACUGAGACACGGCCCAGACUCCUACGGGAGGCAGCAGUGGGGAAUAUUGGACAAUGGGCGCAAGCCUGAUCCAGCCAUGCCGUGUGAGUGACGAAGGUCUUCGGAUUGUAAAGCUCUUUUGGCGGGGACGAUAAUGACGGUACCCGCAGAAUAAGCCCCGGCUAACUUCGUGCCAGCAGCCGCGGU